UCGCGGCCUAUCAGCUUGUUGGCGAGGUAACGGCUCACCAAGGCAACGACGGGUAGCUGGUCUGAGAGGAUGGCCAGCCACAUUGGGACUGAGAUACGGCCCAGACUCCUACGGGAGGCAGCAGUGGGGAAUCUUGCGCAAUGGCCUAACGGCUGACGCAGCGACGCCGCGUGUGGGAUGAAGCUCCUCGGAGUGUAAACCACUGUUGCCCGGGACGAAUAGCUCGAUUAAUCGAGCCUGACGGUACCGGGUGAGGAAGCACCGGCUAACUCCGUGCCAGCAGCCGCGGUAAUACGGGGGGUGCGAGCGUUGUCCGGAAUCACUGGGCGUAAAGGGCGCGUAGGUGGUUUGAUAAGGGUGUGGUGAAAGCCCGGGGCUCAACCCCGGAUCUGCCGUGCCGACUGUCAAACUCGAGGACUGUAGAGGCAGACGGAGUUCCGGGUGUAGCGGUGGAAUGCGUAGAGAUCCGGAGGAAGACCGGUGGCGAAGGCGGUCUGCUGGGCAGUUUCUGACACUGAGGCGCGACAGCGUGGGGAGCAAACAGGAUUAGAUACCCUGGUAGUCCACGCCGUAAACGAUGGGUACUAGGUGCCUGGGGGAGCGACCCUCUGGGUGCCGGCGCUAACGC
This 628-nucleotide ribosomal RNA is filed under the name uncultured bacterium. RNAcentral describes it as "bacterial SSU rRNA". It matches the Rfam family "Bacterial small subunit ribosomal RNA", at positions 231 to 858 of the family's 1533-position model. The record is from RNAcentral.